Molecule: long non-coding RNA, 2030 nt
Organism: Sarcophilus harrisii (Tasmanian devil)
Lineage: Eukaryota; Metazoa; Chordata; Mammalia; Dasyuromorphia; Dasyuridae
Source: Ensembl
UUCAGGACACAAUAAGUUGUUUUUAUUUAAGCUUGUAUCCACAUUGCAGCAGCUAGUGGUCCAAGACAGUGAAUCAGAAAAGGCAGUGAUUUGCCAGGGAGUUCUGCCAGCCAAAUUCUGGGAUCUGCAAUAUACCCAGGUUUUUUCCCCUUUCAAUCUUUGUUAAAAAAAAGCUAGAAAGGAGGAAGUGCCAAAACCUAAAUCUGUACCAAAUUCAAAUCGAAGGUUUUGUUCCCGCCAUUGAAUUCCAAACCUGUUAUUAAGCUAUGGCAUAGAGCAAUCAUGUGAAUGCAAUGCUUGUCAAGUCACAUUUCUUCAAUUUUCAAGAACAAGUUCGAUUCUUUCAAUUGGAGUGUGUGCUUAGGGAGUCUUCAAGCAGUCCUUCCUUUUAACUAUUAAAACCUUUGCUAAGCUGGCAGAUCUGAGCAAUCCUGGGAAAUUACUGCUCUUGUCACUGUAUCAAAAGCUGAGCUAAAAACACUGCCCGCUGCCAGCAUCCUGACAUGGCACAGGGCUGGUGGAGGGGGUGAUCCAGGUUUGCAAACAGUUUAGAUAUUCAUUUCCCAGGCUGGUGAUGAUUAAAUGUAGUUCCAAAAAUGAGAAGCAAAAGGAGUCAGGGAUUUUUUCCAACCCUACCUGGGUUGGCUACUGGCCAGAAGCAAGGAAGUAUCACUGAAAUGGGGAGACUGAUUUUAGGAAAGAGGAAAGAGCAGCACCCCAUGAUGAAGGUGGGGAAAAGAGAAGACACUGAAAGAACCCUGAAUCCCUCACCAAAGGCCCAUGUAAGAGAAGAUGGAUGAGUGGGUGGGGAGAAGGAUACAAUCUAUGCAUUGGCCAAAGGUUGUGGGGAAGUAAAAUGGCUUGCUGGGGCACCAUUUAAAAUGGAAGGUAUUUAAUAAUAAAAAUAAAGACACCAGCAUUGUUAGCCUUUACUAAAGCCAGCACAAAGGGAGGGGUGACAGAUUAGCACACACCCUCAAUAGUAGUCCAUUAAGCUUCCUGUGUCAUACAGGAAGUUAAAACCUUUGUGUCUACUUUAAUAAAUGGCUCAGUGCUGGAAUGCUAUUGCAAAAGGUUAAGGGUAGGGGAAGGGUGGUGGAAUCCUUGGCCAUAUAAGCAGCAAGGUGAUUGUGUGAUAUAUUCUUUCACAGUUGAGUUAGAUGUGCCACACUGGUUAUGACAGUAAUAAAUUUAAAUAGACUUUCUUGAUACCAGAAGUUCAACUAAAUGGACAGUGGUUACACAUGACAAGAUUAUUUGUUAUAGCACAACUUAUAUUUCAAAUGAAAAAAUUAGUAUCAUUUUACAGUAUCUUAAGAUAAAUCGCCUUUGAAUGGGAACUUCCUUUCCAGUACUUUGAGGUCUACAAGAUGCAUCUAGAAAAUUUACUACUGUGGAAAAUGAAGACAGCUUAAAACUGAAUAAAGGGGGAAGAUUUUUUUUUUUUUUGAUUAAUUGCUGUAACAUUGUCCUUCAGGCGGCUGAGGAAGCUUCAUAUUUUCUUUAGACAUCAUUAGACAUCGAAGCUCUUGCAGAACCACUUUGAUGCUAUAUGAAUUCUGCCAUUUUGCUAGCACGGAUAUGGCUCUUGGGUCCACCACUCCAUUAGAACUAUUUACUCCAUUCAUAUUAAUUUUUGUUACAAAUCUUACAAAUGGGGGGGCUUCUGGAUAUUUAGGUCCACACUCUAUUUUAAGGCUGUAUAUUCGGUUUUCAUAAAUUGUUCUUGGAGGCCCAAUAAUCAUUCCUGUCCAUCUUGUAAGUGUCAUAUCUUCAUCAUCUUCAAGACCCCAGCUAACUGUUCCAUCACCUACUCCUUUCUGACCUUCUUCAAGUUCUUCCAACAGUCGGAAAUUUCGAGGGACUUUAACUCCCGAGCCCGUGGUCGCCGCCAUCUUGCGUCGCUGCCGCUCGGAGUCCGCCCCUUCUUCUCCGUCCGCCCCUCCCUCUUCCGGUUUGGCAAUUGUUAAUGCUGUAAAGUUACCCAUGCAUAUAUCCUGUAAAUAAAAGGCUAUUAAAUAAAAAAAAAA